Artibeus jamaicensis (Jamaican fruit-eating bat) is the source of this 1982-nucleotide long non-coding RNA. RefSeq lists it as uncharacterized. The record is from RefSeq and is a predicted model, not a curated record. NCBI's taxonomy places the organism in Eukaryota, Metazoa, Chordata, Mammalia, Chiroptera, Phyllostomidae. The transcript has 3 exons.
CGCUCUCGCCGUUCCUGUCUGCAGAAGCCAUGGCGGGCAGGGGGCGGGACGGCUGGAAAAGAGACGGGGGCACAGGCCAGUGCUCAGUCCACUGAGCCACAGCAGCCAGCGCCAGAAGCUGUUUCUAACCUGACUCCAGACCCUAAACCACGUGGCAGAGACUGAAUCUGGCUGAGCGAACACGGCAAGAAGGUCUGUGUCUGUCCCCACCUCCCCACCUCAGUCCAUUUCUGGUCUCAGCUCGGGCAGGGGAGCACACCCAGAGAGGGGCAGGGGGACAAAGGGCGGGGCUGCAGGGAUCCUGGCUGCCAGGCGGCGAGCCCGGCCUUUGUCCCUGUGGCAGGGCUCAGGGGAGGACAAGGCGGCCAGGGAGCAAGCUGGCAACCGGGCCACUAACAGCCCCCACACUGCCCGGCUCUCAGAGGAGGCCCUGGGCUGGGGGGAGGAAGUGGCGGCCCAAACUGGAAAGCCACCUGUCCCUGCUGCUCGUGGCCGCCCGGUUCCCUUUUCAAAGGGAACUGAGACUGCCACGUGCCCGGCGCUUUUUUACUUUUCGUGGAGGAAAACAUUCCAUCUUACUGUAAGAGUGGUAUCAGGGCACUUUUCCAUCCAAAUUUCUGAGGGAUAAAUAAGGAGGCGGCCAAAUAGGGUACAUGUUCAUUGAAAGAAAGAAAGACUCCGAAGACCAGAGGAAGCAGACCGCGAACUCCUGGCCACCGGUCCCCCGGGAAGGAGCUGCGUGCCUGUCCUUCCAGAUGCCCCUCUGCACCUGGGACAGGACCCGGGGACCUACUUCCCACACUCACAGCUCUUCUUCUACGGCGUGCACACCUCCCCGCCCACAGGCACAGGCAGAUCCACCCCAUCCUGCCCGGUGAUGGUCGCACUGAGUGACCGGGCCGCAGCGGGGGGAGGUCCCCUGGGCUGAGUCCGGCACGUCAGACCCUCGCACACAGCACCUACCAGAGGCACCAUCUUCUGUCACCUGAAGCAUCACAGCGGCCUCCAGACUCAUCGACCUGCUGCCCUUGGGCCCCCACCCCAUGACCAUUCUCCACUCGGCAGCCAAAACUGCCUUUUAACAGCACAAAUCACACCAUGUCACUCUCUGCUCACACCUAAAAUCAAGUCCUGACUCUCACUGGGAGCUCAGGGCCCUGCGUGGCUCUGUCUCCUCCUUGCUCACCCAUCUGUGGGCCCCUCACCAUCUCUCACCUGCCCAGCUCUGCAGGAGGUGCUGGGGGGCGGGGUCAAAAGCACAGACUGGCACUUGCGGCCGGGGCCUGCCCCACACAGGGGCCUGCACUUGACCUUGGCCACCACAUCCUCACCCCAAUGGGGGGAGUAACCUCCUGCCUCCUGAGCAUUGAAUGAGUGGACGUGACAGACACAUGCAGCGCGUCCUCACUGAGCCUGUUCCGGAAUGUCCGCGGUGGUGCCUCCGUCAGGCCCAAAGGGGGACACGGCCCACGUGGGCACAGGAAACUCAAGGCCCCCCAACCCUGGGGCACUAGCAGGAGUGGAGUGCCUUGGGGGUUGUGCCCAGAGCCACACAGAGACCACAAGCAACAGGAGUCCCUUCAGAGAAAAGCCCCAAGAGGCCGAUCUAGAGACAGAAAGAUGAGUCCAGGCUCGGGGCAGCAGGGAGGAUGUGGGUUACAUUCGAGGGGAUGAAAAUGUCCCAGAGCUGACUCUGCCGACGGUCCUACCCACCAGCGAUGAACCAGCACCCACUGGAUGGCACAUUCUUUUAAAGGGAUGAACUUUAUGUGAAUCACAUCUCAGUAACGCUGUCCAUAACAUGUCUCAAGGCCUGGCUGGUGCGGCUCAGUAGAUUGGACACCAGCGUGUGAACCAAAGGGUCACUGGUUCGGUUCCCAGUCAGGGCACAUGCCUGGGUUGCCCUCCAGGUCCACAGUACAGGGUGUGCGAGAGGCAACUACACAGUGAUAUUUUGCUCUCUCUCCCUCCCUUCCCCUCUC